RNAcentral lists this ribosomal RNA (471 nucleotides) under uncultured bacterium. RNAcentral's name for it is "bacterial SSU rRNA". It matches the Rfam family "Bacterial small subunit ribosomal RNA", at positions 28 to 509 of the family's 1533-position model. The record is from RNAcentral.
GACGAACGCUGGCGGCGUGCUUAACACAUGCAAGUCAAGGGGGCCCAGCAAUGGGCAACCGGCGAACGGGUGCGUAACACGUGAGCAACCUACCGAAAUGUGGGGGAUAGCCGGCCUAACGGCCGAGUAAUACCGCAUACGCUCUCGAUGAGGCAUUUCAUUGAGAGGAAACCUACGGGACAUUUCGAGGGGCUCGCGGCCUAUCAGCUAGUUGGCGAGGUAACGGCUCACCAAGGCAACGACGGGUAGCUGGUCUGAGAGGAUGGCCAGCCACAUUGGGACUGAGAUACGGCCCAGACUCCUACGGGAGGCAGCAGUGGGGAAUCUUGCGCAAUGGCCUAACGGCUGACGCAGCGACGCCGCGUGUGGGAUGAAGCUCUUCGGAGUGUAAACCACUGUUGCCCGGGACGAAUAGCUCGAUUAAUCGAGCCUGACGGUACCGGGUGAGGAAGCACCGGCUAACUCCGUGCC